AUCCGGUGACGAGUCCUAAAUAGAACGAAAUGCGCAUCCUGGAU
This 44-nucleotide non-coding RNA is filed under the name Trichobilharzia regenti. The record is from RNAcentral. Lineage: Eukaryota; Metazoa; Platyhelminthes; Trematoda; Strigeidida; Schistosomatidae.